This 253-nucleotide ribosomal RNA is filed under the name uncultured bacterium. RNAcentral describes it as "partial 16S ribosomal RNA". It matches the Rfam family "Bacterial small subunit ribosomal RNA", at positions 524 to 776 of the family's 1533-position model. The record is from RNAcentral.
UACAGGGGGUGCAAACGUUGCUCGGAAUCAUUGGGCGUAAAGCGCACGUAGGCGGCAUCGUAAGUCCGAUGUGAAAGCCCCAGGCUCAACCUGGGAAGUGCAUUGGAUACUGCGGAGCUUGAAUCUGGAAGAGGGUCGCGGAAUUCCCGGUGUAGAGGUGAAAUUCGUAGAUAUCGGGAGGAACACCAGUGGCGAAGGCGGCGACCUGGGCCAAGAUUGACGCUGAGGUGCGAAAGCGUGGGGAGCAAACAGG